RNAcentral lists this non-coding RNA (29 nucleotides) under Mus musculus (house mouse). The record is from RNAcentral. Lineage: Eukaryota; Metazoa; Chordata; Mammalia; Rodentia; Muridae.
UGAGCAUAUGGGUAGCUAGCUUGGGUAUC